AGAGUUUGAUCCUGGCUCAGAUCGAACGCUGGCGGCGUGCUUAACACAUGCAAGUCGAUCGGUAACAGGUGUAGCAAUACAUGCUGACGAGAGGCGGACGGGUGAGGAAUGUUUGGGAAUCUGCCCAUCAGCGGGGGACAACCCGGGGAAACCCGGGCUAAUACCGCAUACGCUCUAUGGAGGAAAGCCGGGGACCGCAAGGCCUGGCACUGAUGGAUGAGCCCAAAUCGGAUUAGCUAGUUGGCGGGGUGACGGCCCACCAAGGCUACGAUCCGUAGCUGGUCUGAGAGGACGAUCAGCCACACCGGAACUGAGACACGGUCCGGACUCCUACGGGAGGCAGCAGUGGGGAAUAUUGGACAAUGGGCGAAAGCCUGAUCCAGCGACGCCGCGUGGGUGAAGAAGGCCUGCGGGUUGUAAAGCCCUUUCGGUAGGGACGAAAACUCUCGACUUAACACGUCGAGGGAUUGACUUAACCUACAUAAGAAGCACCGGCUAACUCUGUGCCAGCAGCCGCGGUAAUACAGAGGGUGCGAGCGUUAAUCGGAAUUACUGGGCGUAAAGCGCACGUAGGCGGCUCUGCAAGUCGGUUGUGAAAUCCCCGGGCUCAACCUGGGAACUGCGACCGAGACUGCAUUACUAGAGUAUGGGAGAGGAAAGCGGAAUUUCUGGUGUAGCAGUGAAAUGCGUAGAUAUCAGAAGGAACAUCAGUGGCGAAGGCGGCUUUCUGGACCAAUACUGACGCUCAGGUGCGAAAGCGUGGGGAGCAAACAGGAUUAGAUACCCUGGUAGUCC
RNAcentral lists this ribosomal RNA (795 nucleotides) under uncultured bacterium. RNAcentral's name for it is "bacterial SSU rRNA". It matches the Rfam family "Bacterial small subunit ribosomal RNA", at positions 8 to 796 of the family's 1533-position model. The record is from RNAcentral.